Molecule: transfer RNA, 73 nt
Filed under: Stegodyphus mimosarum
Lineage: Eukaryota; Metazoa; Arthropoda; Arachnida; Araneae; Eresidae
Rfam family: tRNA
About the family: Transfer RNA (tRNA) molecules are approximately 80 nucleotides in length. Their secondary structure includes four short double-helical elements and three loops (D, anti-codon, and T loops). Further hydrogen bonds mediate the characteristic L-shaped molecular structure. tRNAs have two regions of fundamental functional importance: the anti-codon, which is responsible for specific mRNA codon recognition, and the 3' end, to which the tRNAs corresponding amino acid is attached (by aminoacyl-tRNA synthetases). tRNAs cope with the degeneracy of the genetic code in two manners: having more than one tRNA (with a specific anti-codon) for a particular amino acid; and 'wobble' base-pairing, i.e. permitting non-standard base-pairing at the 3rd anti-codon position.
Source: Rfam by way of RNAcentral
GCCUUCGUGGUGUAGUGGUCAGCACGUUCGACGCGUAAUCGAGAGGGUCGCGGUUCGAGUCCCGGCGAGGGCA